This 242-nucleotide long non-coding RNA is filed under the name Zea mays. RNAcentral describes it as "long non-coding RNA NONZMAT002767". Lineage: Eukaryota; Viridiplantae; Streptophyta; Magnoliopsida; Poales; Poaceae. The record is from RNAcentral.
CACCAUCACUCACGUCCAUGGAACUUGAAUCACCACCGACGUGAAUUCCCGACGGCGACUCUCCCUUACUCUAUCUCUCUCUUCUGCGCUUCUCUCUACUGGGGCCGGUGCCUGCGACCAGAGAACCUCCGGGUGGCUAGGGUUCUGGGUGCUUCGGUCUCGCCUGCCGGCUGGGCACUUAAUUUGUACGGGGAGGAGCCGCCCGCUGCGCGAGUUUCGCGGGUUCGGUUGAGCUCGUCCGC